UAGCUUCUGUAGCUCCUCCCUUUCCUCCUCACUUCCUGCUUGCGAUGCUGAAGUGUCCAAAUUGGUGUCGUGCUGCGUUUUCUAACAAAAAGGAACGGUUUAUUUUUGUAAUUCUUGCCGUAUAUUGUUUACUUUUUAUGUACCCUUAAGAUAUGUUUGUGUUAUUUUAACCGCAAUUUUGAGCGCUACAAGCGUUGUGUUUGAGUGACGGUGUUGGCGCGGUUUGUUUGAAGCCGUCCUCUUUCAUGUCACGUGACGACCACGCCGCCUGCGUCCUGUUGGAAGCAGGGCGGUACAAGGAGUCACAGAGAAGGAGUUUUUCUUUGUCUUAUCACCACACUUCCAACCAGCUGACGAUCCUGAAAUGACGCAAACGUUUCACUUUCAUCUUCAUGUGUCUGCAGGCCAGUACGUUACAGAGGAUGCAAGCACAGCCAUUUUUUUCCGAAUUCAACGGGGCGUUUUUCCACCUUCAAUCUUUCCAGUCGUAUGCACUAGGAGGUCCAUGGAGAGCUGAAGCAAAGUCAGUAAUCAAUAAUCCGAGGACCUUCACCCACUGACUGAGUCUCGUCAUCUGCUUCUUCAUCUUCAUUGUCUACAGAAAGUGCAUCUUCACAUGGAACUUAUGGCAGUUGUCAUGGCAGCCCAGGAAGGCGGGAAGGCUUGAACGCACUUCUAGUGAUUGCACACACCUGUCCCUUGCUGGUUCUUUCCUUCAUUCCCUCCAUGAAUCCCGACCACGCCAACCUUCUUCCUGCCAAGUCUCGAGCAAGUAUUUUCUCUUUGCUGUUUCUUCGGAUACUUUGUUUUUGUGCUCAGUCUUUUUACCCGCCUUCCUACGAAAUAUGUGUCGGGUCACCUGUGCGUCAUCCCGGGGGUAUUUUUUUGAUAUUUUUCCCAUGUUUGCUCUCCCUGGGAGAUCACAUGGGUCCAAACUGUGAACCGGAAAUCGAGAAAACAGUUUUUCCAUUGUUUUAAUUCCCAAUUUUGAUUUUCAAACAUCGAUGAAAAUCGAUGACAGAAAACGCAUAACAAUCUGUUUGAAUUUUUCAUUAUAAAACAAAAAUGGGGAAAAAAUAAUUGAUAAUUUUUCUAUUUUAAAACAAAACGGAUGGCCAUGAAGUACACAACUACUUUUUCCACUCUUGUUUUUCCAUUCUCUUCUUGGUCCGUGUACCUUUCGUUCGUUCGUUUUGUCAAUAUAAAACUAACGCUAAGAAAACAAGUCAUUUUUUUUAAUAUACAGUUUAUUUUUCCAAUUUUGUACACAAUUGGAAAACGGACAUAACGGAUAGAGGGCAUUUAAACUCGUUUUUGCAAAUUUGAGGCAUCAAAUUUACCUGGAAGUAGAAAUCCGUAGACUUGGGCUUGCAGGUAAACAAACAGACGAAGACAGGACUGAUGGAGUUUUAAAUAAAGUUAAUGUCUUUAUUUUAACCUAGCCAAACAUGUCAGUGGUAUGAAAAUAUACAUUUUUUAAAUAUGUUUAUGAUAAUUGCAAUAUUAGAAAUUGCGCUGCCAUUUCCUUAUAAAGAUAUGCAAAUAAACAUCUUUUACCGGCCCGGUUCAGAGUGGUUUUAAUUUCCUUUUUUCAAAUAUUUAACAUUUGUCACUCAGUGAUUCUAAAUUCACUAAUUAUAUGGUGCAACUGAUUGGUAACACUCAAAUUGGCCUGAGGUAGUCUUGGAAAUUUGAAGAAUAUUUCCUUAUCCAUUUUCUAAAUGUUGGGUUUGUAAACAAAUAUUGGGGGAAAAAACAUGUUUGUAAGGCUUUUAUUUUCAAUUUUUUUGGUUUUAUUUGAAAAAUGGAAUGAAUGGAACACACAGACCCUCCUUUUUAUACUUUUUUUUAUUUUUUUUAUACUGUUCUUCUACUUUCUCCUUUUUCUUGUGUUGUUUUUCCAAUUUAUUUGAGAACAUGUCUGCAGAGAAAAAAAGACCGCGUUCAAAGUCAAGCAGCGAACUGUCAAGUAUACAUUUUUUUACUCCUUUGGGAAGACACGGUAACUUUGAUCAAUGACUUCCUGCAUUGUUGAUGUUUUAUCUGCGUGUGCAGCCUGAGACGGAGCUGAGAAUUGAGAUGGAGAUUGUUCAGGCAUCAAUAAAGCAGCUAAGA
Molecule: long non-coding RNA, 2115 nt
Organism: Entelurus aequoreus (snake pipefish)
Lineage: Eukaryota; Metazoa; Chordata; Actinopteri; Syngnathiformes; Syngnathidae
Exons: 5
Source: RefSeq, a predicted model, not a curated record